RNAcentral lists this ribosomal RNA (1413 nucleotides) under uncultured organism. Its description in RNAcentral is "16S ribosomal RNA". It matches the Rfam family "Bacterial small subunit ribosomal RNA". The record is from RNAcentral.
UGAACGCUGGCGGCAUGGCUAAAACAUGCAAGUCGAACGCGAAAGUGACUUCGGUCACGAGUAGAGUGGCGAACGGGCGAGUAAUACUUUGCUAACGUACCCUGAGGUCGGGGAUAGCGACUGGAAACGGUCGGUAAUACCCGAUGACCCCUGCAGACCGCAUGAUCCGCAGGGCAAAGGCUUGCCACCUCAGGAUCGGGCAAAGCGCUAUCAGCUUGUUGGUGGGGUAACGGCUCACCAAGGCGAAGACGGCUAGCGGGUGUGAGAGCAUGACCCGCCGCAUCGGGACUGAGACACUGCCCGGACUCCUACGGGAGGCUGCAGUAACGAAUAUUCCGCAAUGGGCGAAAGCCUGACGGAGCGACGCCGCGUGUGGGAGGAAGCCCUUCGGGGUGUAAACCACUGUCAGGGAUUACCAAGCAAAGUUGGCGAAUAGCCUUCUGCGUUGAGGCGUCCCAGAGGAAGCCACGGCUAACUUCGUGCCAGCAGCCGCGGUAAUACGAAGGUGGCGAGCGUUGUUCGGAAUCACUGGGCUUAAAGGGCACGCAGGCGGACUGUCAAGCGUCUUGUGAAAGCCCCCGGCUUAACCGGGGAAUUGCUGGGCGAACUGGCAGUCUUGAGGCAGGUAAGGGCGAGCGGAACUCUUGGUGGAGCGGUGGAAUGCGUAGAUAUCAAGAGGAACGCCGGAGGCGAAAGCGGCUCGCUGGGCCUGACCUGACGCUGAGGUGCGAAAGCCAGGGGAGCGAACGGGAUUAGAUACCCCGGUAGUCCUGGCCAUAAACGAUGUCCACUAGAUCGGUGAACUUCUGACAGUGCGCCGGUCGAAACAAAAGCGUUAAGUGGACCGCCUGGGGAGUACGGUCGCAAGGCUAAAACUCAAAGGAAUUGACGGGGGCUCACACAAGCGGUGGAGCAUGUUGCUUAAUUCGAUGCAACGCGAAGAACCUUAUCCUGGACUUGACAUGUUAGGAUGCCUCCCUGGAAACAGGGUUGGUUGCCCUUCGGGGUGAAACUUUCACAGGUGCUGCAUGGCUGUCGUCAGCUCGUGUCGUGAGAUGUUGGGUUAAGUCCCGUAACGAGCGAAACCCUUGUCGUUAGUUGCCAGCGCGUAAUGGCGGGGACUCUAGCGAGACUGCCGGUGUUAAACCGGAGGAAGGUGGGGAUGACGUCAAGUCCUCAUGGCCUUUAUGUCCAGGGCUGCAAACGUGCUACAAUGGCGUGUACAAACCGACGCAAGACCGCGAGGUGGAGCAAAUCGGAAAAAGCACGCCCCAGUUCGGAUUGGAGUCUGCAACUCGACUCCAUGAAGUCGGAAUCGCUAGUAAUCGCGUAUCAGCUCGACGCGGUGAAUGUGUUCCUGAGCCUUGUACACACCGCCCGUCAAGUCAUGGAAGCUGGGAGCGCCCGAAGUCG